CCUACGGGAGGCAGCAGUGAGGAAUAUUGGUCAAUGGGCGCUAGCCUGAACCAGCCAAGCAGCGUGAAGGAUGACUGCCCUCUGGGUUGUAAACUUCUUUUAUAUGGGAAUAAAGUGCGGUAUGUAUACUGCUUUGCAUGUACCUUAUGAAUAAGGAUCGGCUAACUCCGAGCCAGACGCCGCGGUAAUACGGAGGAUCCGAGCGUUAUCCGGAGUUAGUGGGUUUAAAGGGAGUGUAGGCGGGUUGGUAAGUCAGUUGUGAAAGUUUGCGGAUCAACCGUAGAAUUGCAGUUGAUACUGGCAUCCUUGAGUACUGUAGAGGUAGGCGGAAUUCGUGGUGUAGCGGUGAAAUGCUUAGAUAUCACGAAGAACUCCGAUGGCGAAGGCAGUCUGCUGGACUGUAACUGACGCUGAUGCUCGAAAGUGUGGGUAUCAAACAGGAUUAGAUACCCUUGUAGUC
This 460-nucleotide ribosomal RNA is filed under the name uncultured bacterium. RNAcentral's name for it is "partial 16S ribosomal RNA". It matches the Rfam family "Bacterial small subunit ribosomal RNA", at positions 338 to 795 of the family's 1533-position model. The record is from RNAcentral.